Non-coding RNA from Acanthosepion pharaonis, 110 nucleotides. The record is from the annotation of a GenBank genome assembly. NCBI's taxonomy places the organism in Eukaryota, Metazoa, Mollusca, Cephalopoda, Sepiida, Sepiidae.
CUACGGUCAUAUCCCAUUGAAACACCGGUUCCCGUAUCACGGAAGUUAAGCAACGUCGUACCUGGUCUGUACCUAGAUGGGUGACAGCUUGAGAAUAUUGGGAGCUGUAA